Molecule: ribosomal RNA, 416 nt
Filed under: uncultured bacterium
Lineage: Bacteria
Description: bacterial SSU rRNA
Rfam family: Bacterial small subunit ribosomal RNA
Source: RNAcentral
AACGAACGCUGGCGGCAUGCCUAACACAUGCAAGUCGAACGAGACCUUCGGGUCUAGUGGCGCACGGGUGCGUAACGCGUGGGAAUCUGCCCUUAGGUUCGGAAUAACUCAGGGAAACUUGAGCUAAUACCGGAUAAUGACGUAAGUCCAAAGAUUUAUCGCCUAGGGAUGAGCCCGCGUAGGAUUAGCUAGUUGGUGGGGUAAAAGCCUACCAAGGCGACGAUCCUUAGCUGGUCUGAGAGGACGAUCAGCCACACUGGGACUGAGACACGGCCCAGACUCCUACGGGAGGCAGCAGUGGGGAAUAUUGGACAAUGGGCGAAAGCCUGAUCCAGCAAUGCCGCGUGAGUGAUGAAGGCCUUAGGGUUGUAAAGCUCUUUUACCCGGGAUGAUAAUGACAGUACCGGGAGAAUAAG